GUUAAAGUAAUUUUAUAAAUAAAUAAUUAUUUUAAUUAUAAAAAUAGUAAUGUAAAUGAAUAAGAAAAAAAUUUUUAAAAAGUAAUUUUCAUUUAAUGUACCUUUUGUAUCAGGAUUUAUUAAAAAUUUAAUUUUAAUAAUUAAAAAUUUUUCGAAAAAAAAAGAGUUAAAUUUAUUAAUAUGAAAUUUAAUGUUAAAAAAUUAUUUUAAAUAUUUAUUUAGAGAAGAAAUUUUAUUCAAUUUUUAAGAUAUCUAAUUUUUUUUGAUAUAAAUUUAAUUUAAUGUAAAUUUUAUUAUUUUUUUAAAUUUUUAUAAUUAAUUUUUAAUAAUAAAUUUAUUUUAAAAAUAUAUGGGAUAAUCUAUAUUAUUUAAUUUAAAAAUAAAUUAUUAUUAGGUUUAAAAUUGAUAAAAUAAUAUUUUUAAAAUUAUAAUUUUUUUGAAAAAAUUUAAUAAUUUAUUUAUAGUUAAUAAAUUAUUUUUUAAAAUUUAAUAAGAUUUUUAAAUAUUAUAAAAAAAUAUUUUAAUUAAUUAUAAGAUUAAUAGAAAUUAUGAUAAAAUUAGUAUUUUAAAAAAUUAUUAAAUAAUUAAUAAUUAAAGUAAUUUUUAUAUUUAAAAUUAGGCAAUAAAAUUUUUUUAUUUAAGUUUUUUAAUUAAUUAUAUUAAAUUCAUCUGUUUAAUAAAAACAUAGUUUUAAGUUAAUAAAAUUUAAAAUUUAUUCUGCUCAAUGAUUUUAAUUAAAUUAAAUAGCUGCAGUAUUUUAACUGUACUAAGGUAGCAUAAUCAAUUGUUUUUUAAUUAGGAACUAGAAUGAAGGAAUGAAUGAAAUUUAAACUUUUAUAUAUAUAAUAAAAAAAUUUAUAAUUUAAGUUAAAAUUCUUAAAUAGAAUUAUGGGACGAGAAGACCCUAUAGAAUUUUAUAUAAUUUUUUUAAAAAAAAAUUUAUUUUAAAAAAUUUUUUAUAUUUUAUUGGGGGGAUAAUAAAAUUUAUUUAACUUUUAUAUUAAUAAUAAAUUUUUUAUAAAGAUAUUAAAUUAUUUAUAAACAUUUAUGAAUGAAUUAAAUAGAAUGUAAAAAUAGAUAAUUUUUUUUAAUUAAAAUUAAUUACCUUAGGGAUAACAGCGUAAUAAUUUUUGAAAGAUCUUAUUAAGAAAAAUGAUUGCGACCUCGAUGUUGAAUUAAAUUAUAAAUUAAAUGAAGAAGUUUAAUUAUUUAGUCUGUUCGACUAUUAAAAUUUUACAUGAUUUGAGUUUAGAUCGGUGUGAGCCAGAUCGGUUUUUAUCUAUAAUAAAUUUAUAUAUUUUUGUACGAAAGGACUUUUUAUUAUGAAUAAUUUUUUUUGAUAAGAAUAAUAGUAAUUUAAAUAAU
RNAcentral lists this ribosomal RNA (1365 nucleotides) under Acropyga guianensis. Its description in RNAcentral is "16S ribosomal RNA". Lineage: Eukaryota; Metazoa; Arthropoda; Insecta; Hymenoptera; Formicidae. The record is from RNAcentral.